GAUGAACGCUGGCGGCGUGCCUAAUACAUGCAAGUCGAGCGAACAGACGAGGAGCUUGCUCCUCUGACGUUAGCGGCGGACGGGUGAGUAACACGUGGAUAACCUACCUAUAAGACUGGGAUAACUUCGGGAAACCGGAGCUAAUACCGGAUAAUAUAUUGAACCGCAUGGUUCAAUAGUGAAAGACGGUUUUGCUGUCACUUAUAGAUUGAUCCUCGCCGCAUUAUCUAGUUGGUAAGGUAACGGCUUACCAAGGCGACGAUGCGUAGCCGACCUGAGAGGGUGAUCGGCCACACUGGAACUGAGACACGGUCCAGACUCCUACGGGAGGCAGCAGUAGGGAAUCUUCCGCAAUGGGCGAAAGCCUGACGGAGCAACGCCGGGUGAGUGAUGAAGGUCUUAGGAUCGUAAAACUCUGUUAUUAGGGAAGAACAAAUGUGUAAGUAACUAUGCACGUCUUGACGGUACCUAAUCAGAAAGCCACGGCUAACUACGUG
This 497-nucleotide ribosomal RNA is filed under the name uncultured bacterium. RNAcentral describes it as "partial 16S ribosomal RNA". It matches the Rfam family "Bacterial small subunit ribosomal RNA", at positions 28 to 507 of the family's 1533-position model. The record is from RNAcentral.